AGCGGGGGAGACGUGAAGAUGGGCCUGGAGACAGAGGCCCUGGCCACCCCCAAGGUGCUCUGCUCACCAGGUCAGCCGAGACCGCGGUGGUGAUGAGGGCGUACGGGCCGUUGACCAGGGCUCCACAGGUGAGCAGCAUCGCUGCCGUGGGGACGGAGACGGCCCGGUUAGAGAGCAGAGGCCACCGCCACCCCCAGCCCCAAAGCGGGGAUGUACACACGCAAAGAGACGGGUGUGUGCGUGAUGCCCAGGCGUGCACAGGCUUCGGCGGCCCACGACGCACACACACUUUGCCCUUGAGGUUCUACGCACCGUGGGGGCAGCCAAGAUCAGCAUGACGCAGCAGGUGGUGGCCCUGCCAUUGGUGUAGUCAGAGAUGAGCCCCGCCAGGAUGCCGCCUGGAACACAACGUGCACGCUGCCACCCCAGGCACGUGGGACCCCGAGCACUGCCCCAUCACUCAGCCCAGCACGAACCGGGCCCGGGCACCCAGAGCCAGCUGAGUGUCUCCCUCCGCAGCCUUCCCCGCACCCACUGAUCACGGGAAGACCACCUGGGCAGGAUGCCACCUUUUCCCUCUGAUGCCACCUGGCUAGGUCACACCCCACUGGACCUGUCCCUUUUUUCUGCACCCUGACAAGAGGAGAGGGGGGUGCAGCCUAGAGGCAGAGCAGGGCAUGGCCUCACCGACGAUGCCACCAACAUCGAAGAGCGUGGACAGGUCCCCAGACUCCUUGGCACUAAAGUGAACUGUGGAAGACAAAAGCAUGUGUUCAGACCUGGGGGCUCAGGGCAGACAUCCUGGAGGGCCACCGCUGGGAGCAUCCCUGCAGACACCUGGUCCAGUAUCAUCUUCAGAGGAAGGAGUGGGGGGCCAUGGAGAAGUGAUUGGCCAAGGUCACAAGUGAGUCUGCAGCAGUUUGGGACCGGAUGCCCUUUCCGGCCCCCAGUCCUGUCGGAUGGCCUUGACCUCCCGGAAAAGCCCUUCUAUGAAAGCAUUGGGAUCUGGCCCUGAGGACCCUGUCCCACUGGGGGCACAACUGCUCUCAAUGAGCCUCAGCCUGUCCAGCCACAUUCCUGCCCUCCCCCUGACCGAGCAGCUGGUCCCCACAGAAGCUUGUCACCUCCAUUUGAGGUCCCUGCCUAUAAGCAGAGCCAGGAAGGAGGCUUGCGGGAAAAUGGGGACCUCAGGUCCCAGACCUCGCCCUAGAAUUAGAAAAAGGGACGCCCAGAAGCUUGAAUUGUAGCCCAGCCCUCAAGGUUGACUCACACUCUGUAGCCAGCAUCAAGGCCACAGAACAGAGUCAGUGACCGCAGGGCUGCCCUGGUGCUCCACCCGCAUCGUCGAGACAGGCCCCUCAGAUGGAGCCGGGGGCGGGGUUGGGGGGUGAGUUACAGCUUGAGACCUGGCCCUGACUCAUCCCCACCGCAUCCUGUUCGGUGCAAGGAUGCUGUGUGGAGACCAGCCUCGUCCCUCCCACGGGGCCUGGAGGGAGCCCGGCAGCCCUGGCUGAGUGGUCCUUGGCCCUGGUGGAGCUCUGAGGCUCUGGGGGCGGGGCUGCUCCCUGACAGAGUAGCUCCACGUGUGGAAAACCAGAGAUCCAGGACAGGGGAACAUAAACAUCCUUUUCAACCGCAAGAGUGACCUCUCCUCAUCUGUCCAUCCUCGGGCAGAGGCAGAGGAGAGGAGGACCACAAGGUGGGCAGCCCAGCAGACCCAGGCACAGGGCAUCAAUCCCCCGAGGCUCCCGGCAGCCCUCCUUGGAAGAGAACAGUGGUUACUGCCAGGCUACAGGCAGUGGGGGUAGCUCAUCAGGCCCUCUUCCUUGGGCUCGGGGAGGCUUAAGGGGCUCCUGGAGGCACUCAAAAGGCAGACCAUUUCCAGUACCCUCCAGUCCCGCCCAUCUAUGAGCCAAGCAGCCUGGAGGGGGGUUUCUCCUACACCUGAGGCUGGAGAAGAAGUUAGGGAGGAUUGCAGAACAGAGCUUUGAGUUCCUAACCCCGACUCAGUGCCAAGGGAGGAAAAGUGGCUGGAAUCAGGGACUUGCUGGGGGGCGGUGCGUCUGCAAGGUUUAGCUUCCCAUUAAAGAAAAAAAAUGUCCCUCCUGCCCUAGGAGAGGUUCAGCAGAAAUCCUGCCUAUUCCUGGAGUCCUACGCAUCACGUGACAGGUUUCCUCCUCAGAGACCCCUCCCUCCCUCACCUCUUCUUCCCCCAGUACUCACCCACAUUGAAGAUGUAGAGAGGCAGCCAGUAGAGGAAGGUGUAACUGACCAGCUUGGCAAAGAGCAGACACAAGGAGAACUCGACCACACCCUGGGGAGCGUAACAGAGGGCACGAUGGAAACGGGGGCACGACAUCCUUGGUCCGUCAGCGGAGCCCCAUCCCAGCACUUUCCACCGCCCACCGCGCAAAGCAGCCUCGAGGACCUCUCCAGCCUCAGUCACAGCAGUGUGCCUGCGGCCCGGAUAUGCUGUGUCAGGACGAGCCUCCCACGUUCCCCUCCCCAAGUGGACCACCCUCCCUAGGCACUGCAUGUAAAGAAAUUCUGGAAACCACAGGUCACCCUGAGCAUCCCCAUCUCCUGAGACCCAGCAGAAAAAUCUAGAGAGCCUCUCUCCUCCUUCUAGUCCACAAAAGACUCACCGGGAUCCAGAGCGCCCCAAAGAAGCUGAUGGCAGCGGGAUGAGCACUUGGCUCCUUGGAGCAGGUGACCGUGGCCCUGACUCCCUGGCCCGUCUGUCAGGGAGCUGGGAAGAGGCAGCAGACGUGGAGAGGCCACCCCACCUUUCCCUCCUCGGUCUCAGAAGAGCCGGCGUUUGCCAGGCAUCCUGACUACACGUCUCACGGAAACGCUCAACAGCCCAGGGAAGCAGGCGUUGUUAUACUUAGGUCACACGUGAGAGAACUGAGGCUCAGAGAGGUGGCCUGUCCCAAGUCACACCUCUGUGGCGCCAACCCCGCGGUCCCACGCUACCAGCCGCCUUCUCCCAGGACCUAACCGGGAGGCUCGGCUCCGGCCCUGUGAGGAGGGAGGGCUCCACUCACAUUCAAUGAAGAAGAAGAAGGUGAUGAGGCCCAUGAUGGCGGUGAUGAUGCCGGGCACCACAAAAGACAGGCCCCACUGCUCAUCCACCCAGACGCCGGCGAUCAGGGAGCCCAGGAUGUUGCCCACGGAUGUGUGGGAAUUCCAGAUGCCCAUGAUGAGGCCCCGCCUGGAGCGGAGGGAGGGAGGCAGGUAGAGAAGAACGGGAAAAGUAAGAAGAGAAGCACAGGGCUCCUGGCGACCGCCCGACCAAGUGCAAAAAGCUGGCUGCCUGCAGCCUCCGAGCUGAAGGCCCCCCUCAGGGAGGAGCGGGAGGGUUUGCUGGUGUCAAGGGAGUGGCAGCAAGGCCGGGGGUCCCGCUCCCCAGCCGCUCCCUGAGUUAGCACCCUCCGGCUCCUGCUGCCCCAGGGCCCAGAGCCCUAGCCCUUUCUUCUCUUGCCCUAAGGCCGUGACUCUGAAGUCCUCAACCAGGGGUUGACUCUGCCCCCAGGGGACGUGGGCGCCGUCUGGAGAGUUCUGACCGUCCCAGCUGUGGGUGCGCUAGUGGCAUCUAGGGGUAGAGGCUGCUGAACACCCCACACUGUGUAGGACGGUCCCACAGCAACGAAUUAUCCAGCCCCAUAUGUCCAAGUGCCAGGGUUGAAAAACCCUGCCCUAAAGAAACUUUUUUUUGCACAAAAGCCAGUUCAAGGGAAAAAAACAAAACAAACAAACAA
Mesoplodon densirostris (Blainville's beaked whale) is the source of this 3761-nucleotide long non-coding RNA. RefSeq lists it as uncharacterized. The record is from RefSeq and is a predicted model, not a curated record. The transcript has 3 exons. Lineage: Eukaryota; Metazoa; Chordata; Mammalia; Artiodactyla; Ziphiidae.